CCUACGGGUGGCAGCAGUGGGGAAUAUUGGACAAUGGGCGAAAGCCUGAUCCAGCCAUGCCGCGUGUGUGAAGAAGGCCUUCGGGUUGUAAAGCACUUUCAGUGGGGAAGAAAGCCUUGGGGCUAAUACCCUCGAGGAAGGACAUCACCCACAGAAGAAGCACCGGCUAACUCCGUGCCAGCAGCCGCGGUAAUACGGAGGGGGCGAGCGUUAAUCGGAAUUACUGGGCGUAAAGCGCGCGUAGGCGGUCUGAUAAGCCGGUUGUGAAAGCCCCGGGCUCAACCUGGGAACGGCAUCCGGAACUGUCAGGCUAGAGUGCAGGAGAGGAAGGUAGAAUUCCCGGUGUAGCGGUGAAAUGCGUAGAGAUCGGGAGGAAUACCAGUGGCGAAGGCGGCCUUCUGGACUGACACUGACGCUGAGGUGCGAAAGCGUGGGUAGCAAACAGGAUUAGAUACCCCAGUAGUC
Molecule: ribosomal RNA, 465 nt
Filed under: Vreelandella stevensii
Lineage: Bacteria; Pseudomonadati; Pseudomonadota; Gammaproteobacteria; Oceanospirillales; Halomonadaceae
Description: partial 16S ribosomal RNA
Rfam family: Bacterial small subunit ribosomal RNA
Source: RNAcentral